This 209-nucleotide ribosomal RNA is filed under the name uncultured bacterium. RNAcentral describes it as "partial 16S ribosomal RNA". It matches the Rfam family "Bacterial small subunit ribosomal RNA", at positions 28 to 233 of the family's 1533-position model. The record is from RNAcentral.
GACGAACGCUGGCGGCGUGCUUAACACAUGCAAGUCGAGCGGUAAGGCCCGUUUCGGGGGUACGACGAGCGGCGAACGGGUGAGUAACACGUGGGUGACCUGCCCGUUAGCUCUCGGGAUAAGCCUGGGAAACUGGGUCUAAUACCGGAUAUGACUCCAUGACGCAUGUUGUGGGGUGGGAAAGCCUUGUGCGGCUAGGGAUGGGCCCG